UGUAACUUCAAAGACAAUCAAGUUUAGUUCAAAAUCAGAAGAGAAGGCCAGGGAAGCAGUAAGCAGAGAGACUGUGAGUGGAAUUGCUAAGUCACAUGAUAAGCAUAAAUUUAACUUUAAAAGAAGCUGCCAAUUUUGUCUUCCAGCAUAGACAGAGUCUCACUUUACCACCCUUGGUAGAGUGCCAUGAUGUCACAGGACUCACAGCAACCUCCAGCUCUUGGGCUUUUGCGAUUCUCCCGCCUCAGCCUCCCGAGCAGCUGGGACUACAGGCGCCCGCCACAACGCCCGGCUAUUUUUUGGUUGCAGUUCAGCCGGGGCUGGGUUUGAACCCAUCACCCUCGGUAUAUG
Nycticebus coucang (slow loris) is the source of this 351-nucleotide long non-coding RNA. RefSeq lists it as uncharacterized. The record is from RefSeq and is a predicted model, not a curated record. Lineage: Eukaryota; Metazoa; Chordata; Mammalia; Primates; Lorisidae. The transcript is spliced from 3 exons.